UCUCUCCUCCGCACUCCGCAGCCGCAUUCAUCUUUACAGAAAAGCUCCAAGGGAUCGAAGAGAGAGCCAUGGCGCAGUCACUAGAGCUAUUAUUGAUUCAAUUUCUGAUGCCUGACAAUGAUGCUAGAAGACAAGCUGAGGAUCAAAUAAAGCGUCUUGCAAAGGAUCCUCAGGUGGUUCCAUCACUGAUACAUCAUCUCCGGACUGCCAAAACGCCUAAUGUUAGGCAGCUUGCGGCGGUACUUCUCCGUAAGAAGAUCACUGGUCAUUGGGCUAAGCUAUCUCCUCAACACCGUCAGCUUGUGAAACAGUCCUUAAUUGAGAGCAUCACUAUG
RNAcentral lists this unclassified non-coding RNA (335 nucleotides) under Hevea brasiliensis (rubber tree). The record is from RNAcentral. Lineage: Eukaryota; Viridiplantae; Streptophyta; Magnoliopsida; Malpighiales; Euphorbiaceae.